This 133-nucleotide small RNA is filed under the name Klebsiella pneumoniae. Its description in RNAcentral is "RtT sRNA". It matches the Rfam family "RtT RNA". Rfam says of the family: This family represents a bacterial cis-regulatory element known as RtT RNA. The exact function of RtT is unknown although it is thought that it may be involved in changing the cellular response in relation to amino acid starvation. The record is from RNAcentral. RNAcentral also lists the same sequence under 1 other name. Lineage: Bacteria; Pseudomonadati; Pseudomonadota; Gammaproteobacteria; Enterobacterales; Enterobacteriaceae.
UGUUUGCAGUUAGCGGGAAGGGUAAGAACCUUCGACUAAGGUUCGACUCGAGCGCCAGCGAGAGAACGUUGCCGCAGGCAACGGCCCGAAGGGCGAGGAGCGAUAGCGACGAGUUAUCCUUCCCCCACCACCA